RNAcentral lists this transfer RNA (72 nucleotides) under Bacillus safensis. RNAcentral describes it as "tRNA-Val". It matches the Rfam family "tRNA". From Rfam's summary of the family: Transfer RNA (tRNA) molecules are approximately 80 nucleotides in length. Their secondary structure includes four short double-helical elements and three loops (D, anti-codon, and T loops). The record is from RNAcentral. Lineage: Bacteria; Bacillati; Bacillota; Bacilli; Caryophanales; Bacillaceae. RNAcentral also lists the same sequence under 1 other name.
GGAGGAUUAGCUCAGCUGGGAGAGCAUCUGCCUUACAAGCAGAGGGUCGGCGGUUCGAGCCCGUCAUCCUCC